RNAcentral lists this long non-coding RNA (2351 nucleotides) under Homo sapiens (human). RNAcentral describes it as "HSALNT0009342". The record is from RNAcentral. Lineage: Eukaryota; Metazoa; Chordata; Mammalia; Primates; Hominidae.
UCAUUUCUUGUUAUUUUAUUUUUUGUUGUGAGGAGAAAAACCUACCUAUGAAUCUGGAGGUGACAGAAUAACCAGUAUCUGGCCUUGGGGAUGAAGGGAUUUUUGCAUACAAGCCUGCCUAAGGACUAGACAGUGUCAAAUGUACCUUCUAUAGAAACCUGUGGUGUAGCAACACCAGAACGAAGGGCUGGGCUCCUGAUUCCUCUCACAGCAUGGAAGAAAUAAGAUUUUUAAUUGGAUUCAAUGAUGGCCUCACCAGAGCCUUGUCACUAGCUUUAUAAGGAGAUAGUUCUUAAGCGACAUCAGUCAAGCAGGCUAGAGGGCAUCCUAACCCAUCAUUAACUCAAAUCUUGAUGACUGGCUAGAAGAAGCACUCCUGAGACAUCAAUAGAAUAGAAAAACAAUGCUGCCUGCACAGACAGCUAUAAUGUCAGACAUUCCGUUGACUUCUUUCUCAAUUUCCUUUUUAAUUCUGGAGUGGACGAGAGGACCCAAAUUUUCUCACUCUUGAUCCUCAUGCAAGAAAUAUAGCUUCUUUGAAAGUUACUUAGUUCUAGCAUGUGGAAAGGUCAAGUCGAUUAGAUCUUCAACAUAAACAUCCCUUACCAGCACUCUUAACCUGAAUGCUCUAUUUGAAAAGAAGAGAAUGAUUCAAUUAAGCACAGUGAAGAAUUUGUACUUAGUAGACUGUGUGUAAGAAGAGGAAUAAAUCAACCCAUAGACAAUGAUCAUGAGAAGGCAACAAACAUAAUGUCCUCUGAAUAGUCUUCUCCCUGAAUUUGAUAAGGCAUUCACAAAAUUCUACAGUGGGACACCAAAUAGGUGCUAUUGAGCGGUGAAGCCGGCUGGGCUUCUGGGUCAGGUGGGGACUUGGAGAAAUUUUCCGUCUAGCUAAAGGAUUGUAAAUGCACCAAUCAGUGCUCUGUGUCUACCUAAUCGGGUGGGUACUUGGAGAACUUUUCUGUCUAGCUAAAGGAUUGUAAAUGCACCAAUCAGUGCUCUGUGUCUAGCUAAAAGUUUAUAAACACACCAAUCAGCACUCUGUAAAAUGGACCAAUCAGUGCUCUGUAAAAUGGAUCAAUCAGCAGGAUGUGGGAGGGGCCAAAUAAGGGAAUAAAAGCUGGCCACCCAGGCCAGCAGUGGCAACCUGCUCAGGUCCUCUUCCAUACUGUGGAAGCUUUGUACUUUUGCUCUUCACAAUAAAUCUUGCUGCUGGUCACUCUUUCGGUCCACACUACCUUUAUGAGCUAUAACACUCACUGCCAAGGUCUGGGGCUUCCCUCCUGAAGUCAGUGAGACCGCAAACCCACCGGGAGGAACAAACAACUCCAGACGUGCCACCUAAGAGCUGUAACAGUCACUGCGAAGGUCUGCGGCUUCACUCCUCAAGUCAGGGAGACCAUGAACCCACCGGGAGGAACAAACAACUCGGACGCGCCACCUUUAAGAGCUGUAACACUCACUGAGAGUGUCUGCGGCUUCACUCCUGAAGUCAAGGCGAGACCACAAACCCACCGGAAGGAAGAAACUCCAGACACAUCUGGACAUCUGAAGAAACAAACUCUGGACACACCGUCUUUAAGAACUAACACUCACCGCGAGGGUCUGUGGCUUCAUUCUUGAAGUUAGCAAGACCAAGAACCCACCGGAAGGAACCAAUUCCGGACACACUAGGAGACCUCAGUCACUCAGGUGUUUAGAGCACUGCAGAGCUCAAAUCACACAGAUAAAUGAUGGUCUCUAGAUGAAUGGGCACACUUAAAGAGUUGCUUCCUUACUAUAUUUGAAAAUUUAAAGCACUAUGAGAGGGGAACAAAACCUGAAAUAGACAUUUCCCUUGCGAAAAUGAGACAGAAAAAUACAAAUUAUAUAUAUUUUCAAUAUAUAAUAAUACUGUCUUAUCUUUUAUGCUUGAAGAGGUAAAUGUGAAAGACAAACAGAAGUCUAAAAAAUUAUCUGAACUGAUAAGAAUUUUUAAGAAUCUAGACUCUAAAGCUGUGGCAGCAUUGGCAUCAAGAGAAAUAGAUGUACAUACCAUCUACUCUAUUAAAAUCUUGCUUGAAACUUUGCAUUUAAAGAAGGCUUGUGUCUUUUCCGUGGAAAAAUGGGAGUAGGGAUUGGACUGCCUAAAAUUCCUUCUAGCUUUACAUUGUUAUGUUAUGCUGUUUAUUCUUUAAUGAGGUAGGUACAUUUCUGUUCUGUGUCAUGUUUAUGUGCUAGUUUCCCAAAUGCAGUCUAAAGAUAUCUAUCAGAAAUUUCAUAGUUUUUGCCAUCAUUGUCAAAAGAUUAAAAGGCCAAUGAUAAGGCCAACAAUUGGCUUUUAGAAGCAAAUUCUUACAUUUUUUUCCCCC